UUCGGCCUACGGGAGGCAGCAGUGAGGAAUAUUGGUCAAUGGUCGGGAGACUGAACCAGCCAACCGCGUGAGGGAUGAAGGUACAGAGUAUCGUAAACCUCUUUUGUCAGGGAACAAAGGCGGGGACGCGUCCCCGGAUGAGUGUACCUGAAGAAAAAGCAUCGGCUAACUCCGUGCCAGCAGCCGCGGUAAUACGGAGGAUGCGAGCGUUAUCCGGAUUUAUUGGGUUUAAAGGGUGCGCAGGCGGUCUUUUAAGUCAGCGGUCAAAGCCCGGGGCUCAACCCCCGCCCGCCGUUCAAACUGCC
RNAcentral lists this ribosomal RNA (305 nucleotides) under uncultured bacterium. Its description in RNAcentral is "bacterial SSU rRNA". It matches the Rfam family "Bacterial small subunit ribosomal RNA", at positions 330 to 637 of the family's 1533-position model. The record is from RNAcentral.